Molecule: transfer RNA, 70 nt
Filed under: marine eukaryotic metagenome
Rfam family: tRNA
About the family: Transfer RNA (tRNA) molecules are approximately 80 nucleotides in length.
Source: RNAcentral
CCAGUAGCUCAGUUGGUUAGAGCAAUCCGCUCAUAACGGAUUGGUCGGGGGUUCAAAUCCCUCCUGGUCC